UGGCUGGCCCUUCCUCCCUCCGGGUGGAGGCCCCAGAUCACUCAGAGUGAGGGGUGCGGAGGACCCUGGGCCCAGGCGGGCUGGGGGCUGUGCGGCAGGCAUCUGGGGACUCCCGGGGUAGGAGCAGUGGGGACCGGGCAGCAGCAGCUGUGCUGGAGGCCUUGGAGGGCCAUCCCUCGCUUGCCCAGGUCCACGACAGCUCCCGAGGGCAGCAGACGGGACCUCAUUGCCAUCUGGGCAGGACACCAAAGUCGACAAGGUAAGUGGCCAUUUUCUUGCACCUACAGGUUUUACCCCAAUUCUGUUCUCGUGCUGCCCCCAUCUUCCUUCCUUGUGCCAAGUAACCCCUCUCCUCCUUUACCCUCCAGGGCCAGGGUCCCUAGUCCCCUCACCACGUGCCUGCCUCUCCCUCCCUCCCUGUCCGCACUGUGGGACGGCUCCAGGCUGUCUCUGGGCUUGUGGGGUGGGCCCAGCACCUCUCGGGGGUCCCGCUAACAAGCCCCUUCUCCCCGCUGACAUCCCUGCUGACGACCUUCCUCUGGGUGUUGCCUCUAGAAACCAGGCGGCCUCGGCUGGCAGCCCGAGGGGCAGGACGCCGGCACAGGGUCCCAGCACCGCUGUCCGCCUCAAGCUGGGGCGGGCACAGGCGCCGGGCUCCCAGACAGACACGCACGUGCCCGUCUUGCCAAUUAGGGCCCGAGGCGCCAUGAGAUGGGCUUGUUAGCACAGCACAGGGGGAGCCAGCACACGGUACGGCUGGUCGAUGGGGGAUGCGCCGCCCGCCUGCAUGGACGGCCCCCCACCUCGAGGAUCAAUGGUCCCCCCACCAUGGGGCUGAGGCGACAGCAGAGGCCCCCUGAGGCUCGGGCCCAGCGGUAGGCAGCCUCCCAGCCCGCAGGUCAGCCCUGGCAGACAAGACUGGACCACGUCCCCGAUUUACAGACACAGAGACCGAGGCUCGGAGACUCUCCUUGGCUGCCCAGCCCCCCUCAGUGAGGCCAGGGUGCACAUUUGGGCUCAGCCAGGGUAAGAGCCUUGCCUACAGUGACGACGGAGUGGGGGCACACUGCUGGCAGGAGCGGGUGGGGGAGGCCUGGGGUGCCCAGGACGCUGGAAGGCAGGACCCCAACCCCCUGGGCACCUUCGACGAGUCUGCCGGCCCCUCUGGGCCUCUCAGCCGCCCCCUGCUGCCCACAGCCUGGAUCUGGGUGCCCAGGGCCCCCGUCCAUCCUGGAGGCUUCGGAGCAGACAUCCAGCUUGAUGCAGAAGGGGUGGGAGGGAAAGGCAACGCCCUCCACCCCCUUUUACAGAGGGAAGAACUAAGGGCCGGACGGGGCCUUUAGCUGCCCAGUGUCACCAGCCAGUGAGCAGAGAUGCUGAGGCCAGAACCCAGUUCAGGGGCAUCAAGUACAUACACAGUGUGGUCACGUUGGACAGCCGUCACCAUCGUCCGUCUCCAGAACUUUCCAUUUUCCCAAAUUGAGACUCUGUCCCCGUUCCAUACGGAUGCCCCUCCCCCUCCCCCAGCCC
This is a non-coding RNA of Delphinapterus leucas (beluga whale), 1530 nucleotides long. Lineage: Eukaryota; Metazoa; Chordata; Mammalia; Artiodactyla; Monodontidae. The record is from RefSeq and is a predicted model, not a curated record.